GUAUUUAAAGUAUUAGAGGCACUGCCUGCCCAGUGACACUAGUUUAACGGCCGCGGUAUCCUGACCGUGCAAAGGUAGCAUAAUCACUUGUUCUCUAAAUAAGGACUGGUAUGAAUGGCCACACGAGGGUUUUACUGUCUCUUACUUUUAAUCUAUGAAAUUGACCUUCCCGUGAAGAGGCGGGAAUAAACAAAUAAGACGAGAAGACCCUAUGGAGCUUUAAUUAAUUAAUUUAUAAGAAACAUAUAAAACCGACAAGGACCAACACAACUUCUUAUAUAAAUUAACAAUUUAGGUUGGGGUGACCUCGGAAUACAAAUCAACUUCCGAGUGAUUUUAAGCCUAGACCCACAAGUCAAAGCAAUACAAUCAUUUAUUGAUCCAAAAUUUUUGAUCAACGGAACAAGUUACCCUAGGGAUAACAGCGCAAUCCUAUUUAAGAGUCCCUAUCGACAAUAGGGUUUACGACCUCGAUGUUGGAUCAGGACAUCCUAAUGGUGCAGCAGCUAUUAAUGGUUCGUUUGUUCAACGAUUAAAGUCCUACGUGAUCUGAGUUCAGACCGGAGAAUAAA
This 572-nucleotide ribosomal RNA is filed under the name Eumops glaucinus (Wagner's bonneted bat). Its description in RNAcentral is "partial large subunit ribosomal RNA". It matches the Rfam family "Bacterial large subunit ribosomal RNA", at positions 1834 to 2628 of the family's 2925-position model. The record is from RNAcentral. Lineage: Eukaryota; Metazoa; Chordata; Mammalia; Chiroptera; Molossidae.